Molecule: ribosomal RNA, 160 nt
Filed under: uncultured bacterium
Lineage: Bacteria
Description: partial 16S ribosomal RNA
Rfam family: Bacterial small subunit ribosomal RNA
Source: RNAcentral
UGGGGAAUCUUGCACAAUGGGCGAAAGCCUGAUGCAGCGACGCCGCGUGGGGGAUGAAGCAUUUCGGUGUGUAAACCCCUUUCGACUGGGACGCGGUACCAGUAGAAGAAGCCCCGGCUAACUACGUGCCAGCACGCGGUAAAACCGGUUACUCCUACGG